This 515-nucleotide ribosomal RNA is filed under the name uncultured bacterium. RNAcentral describes it as "bacterial SSU rRNA". It matches the Rfam family "Bacterial small subunit ribosomal RNA", at positions 28 to 526 of the family's 1533-position model. The record is from RNAcentral.
GACGAACGCUGGCGGCGUGCCUAAUACAUGCAAGUCGAGCGGAACCAUUGGAGCUUGCUCCAUUGGUUUAGCGGCGGACGGGUGAGUAACACGUGGGUAACCUGCCCAUCAGAAGGGGAUAACACUUGGAAACAGGUGCUAAUACCGUAUAACAAUCAAAACCGCAUGGUUUUGAUUUGAAAGGCGCUUUCGGGUGUCGCUGAUGGAUGGACCCGCGGUGCAUUAGCUAGUUGGUGAGGUAACGGCUCACCAAGGCCACGAUGCAUAGCCGACCUGAGAGGGUGAUCGGCCACAUUGGGACUGAGACACGGCCCAAACUCCUACGGGAGGCAGCAGUAGGGAAUCUUCGGCAAUGGACGAAAGUCUGACCGAGCAACGCCGCGUGAGUGAAGAAGGUUUUCGGAUCGUAAAACUCUGUUGUUAGAGAAGAACAAGGAUGAGAGUAACUGUUCAUCCCUUGACGGUAUCUAACCAGAAAGCCACGGCUAACUACGUGCCAGCCGCCGCCGUAAAAC